CUGUCAUCAGUUGAAUUGUCAUUUUGAACUUGCAGUAUAUCUUCUCCUGAAUUGUUGGUACCCAUAGUGAUUGUAGCCCUCUUCCUCCAUAAGAGUUUCCUUACUAAAUUUUAAUGUGACCUCUAGGAAUUCUGGUGAUCAUACUCAGGUGGGAAUCUCAACUUAUUGUUGAAAAAUAUAAAGUGUGAAUAAGAGGAAGAGGAUGGAUGGAUCAUUGUAGAAGUACAACACAGCAAUCACAACAUGCAUGUGAUCCAUCAAUGUCCCACAACUAUGCAACGGGAACACUAAAAUUUAAUCAUAAUGUACUAGUUGCAGUAGCAUAAUUGAACUAUUAAGAGUCAAAAAGCUAAGAAGACAACUAUAUUAACUGUGCUCUAAUCAUGACAAAUACUAAUUUAGGUAGGUUAGAAACCCCUCAUCCCUCAUCUUUAGUUAAUUUCAUAUCAGUAGGAAAUACGCAGGAGGAGGGGGGGAAUUUACAACCAGGUUAGGAAAUUGCAAUUCCCAACCAACUGAAGGCAACCCAAUUAAUAAUAUAAUACCUAAUAUAAUACUUCACUCAAAUUAACCUACUUGGAGCAGGUUUUGCUCAUGAUUGCUACCCCUACAGAAACACCACAUGCUAGAAAUAUCAUAGCAAGGCCACUUGAGAAGAAUCCGGCAUCAAGAAUUAAUGUGAUAGUAAACCCUGGAUCCUUACCCUUACCCUUUGAAGGACAUGUUAUACCCUUUGAAGGACAUGUUAUUUUAUCAAUUAUAUAAGUAACUGAAAAAGAGAAACAGCUUUGUACCUAUUCCAUGAGAAUAUCGAUACUGAAGUU
This 824-nucleotide long non-coding RNA is filed under the name Musa acuminata (dwarf banana). RNAcentral's name for it is "long non-coding RNA (MACU_LNC001360)". The record is from RNAcentral. Lineage: Eukaryota; Viridiplantae; Streptophyta; Magnoliopsida; Zingiberales; Musaceae.